RNAcentral lists this small RNA (159 nucleotides) under Desulforamulus putei. RNAcentral's name for it is "Desulfotomaculum putei c-di-AMP sequence". It matches the Rfam family "c-di-AMP riboswitch aptamer (ydaO/yuaA leader)". From Rfam's summary of the family: This family represents a conserved RNA structure found upstream of the ydaO and yuaA genes in Bacillus subtilis and related genes in other bacteria. The ydaO/yuaA element is thought to act as a genetic "off" switch for the ydaO and yuaA genes in its native state. It is believed that the element may be triggered during osmotic shock leading to activation of ydaO, a predicted amino acid transporter gene, and members of the yuaA-yubG operon which code for KtrA and KtrB K+ transporters. The record is from RNAcentral. Lineage: Bacteria; Bacillati; Bacillota; Clostridia; Eubacteriales; Peptococcaceae.
UAUCAAAAAAGGCCGAAUCUCCGGUGGCACCGGAGUACGGGGGACCAAUUUUAUUUUGGGGUGAAUCCGCCAACCUUUUUGGGGGUGUCAAAAGGUGCGGUAGGGGUACCCUUCAACCCGAACCCGUCAACUAACCUCGAAGGCCAAAGGAGGGUAAAA